UUGAAGAGUUUGAUCAUGGCUCAGAUUGAACGCUGGCGGCAGGCCUAACACAUGCAAGUCGAGCGGUAGCACAGAGAGCUUGCUCUCGGGUGACGAGCGGCGGACGGGUGAGUAAUGUCUGGGAAACUGCCUGAUGGAGGGGGAUAACUACUGGAAACGGUAGCUAAUACCGCAUAACGUCGCAAGACCAAAGUGGGGGACCUUCGGGCCUCAUGCCAUCAGAUGUGCCCAGAUGGGAUUAGCUAGUAGGUGGGGUAACGGCUCACCUAGGCGACGAUCCCUAGCUGGUCUGAGAGGAUGACCAGCCACACUGGAACUGAGACACGGUCCAGACUCCUACGGGAGGCAGCAGUGGGGAAUAUUGCACAAUGGGCGCAAGCCUGAUGCAGCCAUGCCGCGUGUGUGAAGAAGGCCUUCGGGUUGUAAAGCACUUUCAGCGGGGAGGAAGGCGGUGAGGUUAAUAACCUCAUCGAUUGACGUUACCCGCAGAAGAAGCACCGGCUAACUCCGUGCCAGCAGCCGCGGUAAUACGGAGGGUGCAAGCGUUAAUCGGAAUUACUGGGCGUAAAGCGCACGCAGGCGGUCUGUCAAGUCGGAUGUGAAAUCCCCGGGCUUAACCUGGGAACUGCAUUCGAAACUGGCAGGCUAGAGUCUUGUAGAGGGGGGUAGAAUUCCAGGUGUAGCGGUGAAAUGCGUAGAGAUCUGGAGGAAUACCGGUGGCGAAGGCGGCCCCCUGGACAAAGACUGACGCUCAGGUGCGAAAGCGUGGGGAGCAAACAGGAUUAGAUACCCUGGUAGUCCACGCCGUAAACGAUGUCGAUUUGGAGGUUGUGCCCUUGAGGCGUGGCUUCCGGAGCUAACGCGUUAAAUCGACCGCCUGGGGAGUACGGCCGCAAGGUUAAAACUCAAAUGAAUUGACGGGGGCCCGCACAAGCGGUGGAGCAUGUGGUUUAAUUCGAUGCAACGCGAAGAACCUUACCUGGUCUUGACAUCCACAGAACUUUCCAGAGAUGGAUUGGUGCCUUCGGGAACUGUGAGACAGGUGCUGCAUGGCUGUCGUCAGCUCGUGUUGUGAAAUGUUGGGUUAAGUCCCGCAACGAGCGCAACCCUUAUCCUUUGUUGCCAGCGGUCCGGCCGGGAACUCAAAGGAGACUGCCAGUGAUAAACUGGAGGAAGGUGGGGAUGACGUCAAGUCAUCAUGGCCCACGACCAGGCUACACGUGCUACAAUGGCAUAUACAAAGAGAAGCGACCUCGCGAGAGCAAGCGGACCUCAUAAAGUAUGUCGUAGUCCGGAUUGGAGUCUGCAACUCGACUCCAUGAAGUCGGAAUCGCUAGUAAUCGUAGAUCAGAAUGCUACGGUGAAUACGUUCCCGGGCCUUGUACACACCGCCCGUCACACCAUGGGAGUGGGUUGCAAAAGAAGUAGGUAGCUUAACCUUCGGGAGGGCGCUUACCACUUUGUGAUUCAUGACUGGGGUGAAGUCGUAACAAGGUAACCGUAGGGGAACCUGCGGUUGGAUCACCUCCUU
RNAcentral lists this ribosomal RNA (1531 nucleotides) under Klebsiella pneumoniae. RNAcentral's name for it is "bacterial SSU rRNA". It matches the Rfam family "Bacterial small subunit ribosomal RNA". The record is from RNAcentral. Lineage: Bacteria; Pseudomonadati; Pseudomonadota; Gammaproteobacteria; Enterobacterales; Enterobacteriaceae.